This 451-nucleotide ribosomal RNA is filed under the name uncultured bacterium. Its description in RNAcentral is "partial 16S ribosomal RNA". It matches the Rfam family "Bacterial small subunit ribosomal RNA", at positions 329 to 794 of the family's 1533-position model. The record is from RNAcentral.
GUCCAGACUCCUACGGGAGGCAGCAGUGGGGAAUAUUGGGCAAUGGGCGCAAGCCUGACCCAGCAAUGCCGCGUGAAGGAAGAAGGCCUUCGGGUUGUAAACUUCUUUUAUCAGGGACGAAGGAUGUGACGGUACCUGAUGAAUAAGCUCCGGCUAACUACGUGCCAGCAGCCGCGGUAAUACGUAGGGAGCAAGCGUUAUCCGGAUUUACUGGGUGUAAAGGGCGCGUAGGCGGGAUGGCAAGUCAGAUGUGAAAACUCAGGGCUCAACCCUGAGCCUGCAUUUGAAACUGUGUUUCUUGAGUGCUGGAGAGGUAAUCGGAAUUCCGUGUGUAGCGGUGAAAUGCGUAGAUAUACGGAGGAACACCAGUGGCGAAGGCGGAUUGCUGGACAGUAACUGACGCUGAGGCGCGAAAGCGUGGGGAGCAAACAGGAUUAGAUACCCGCGUAAC